This 184-nucleotide unclassified non-coding RNA is filed under the name uncultured Ascomycota. RNAcentral describes it as "sequence contains ITS1". Lineage: Eukaryota; Fungi; Ascomycota. The record is from RNAcentral.
CCUUUCCGGUCUCGAUCUCUCGGGACCGCGCCUUCGACUCGCCGCAGCGAUGCGGUCGAGGCGAGAGCAAACUCCUGCCUACGAGUACCUCUUGUUCCCUCGGCGGGUCUGCACCCGCCGCUGGGCCCCACCAAACCUCCUUGCAGUAGCAGUAUACCUCUGAUCGUGGGCACUUGAAUCUUUA